RNAcentral lists this ribosomal RNA (229 nucleotides) under uncultured bacterium. RNAcentral's name for it is "partial 16S ribosomal RNA". It matches the Rfam family "Bacterial small subunit ribosomal RNA", at positions 568 to 796 of the family's 1533-position model. The record is from RNAcentral.
CGUGUAGGCGGAUUACUAAGUUGGCUGUGAAAGCUCCUGGCUUAACUAGGAGAGGUCGGUCAAUACUGGUAGUCUAGAGUAUGUGAGAGGGAAGUGGAAUUCCGGGUGUAGUGGUGAAAUGCGUAGAUAUCCGGAGGAACACCAGAGGCGAAAGCGGCUUCCUGGCACAUUACUGACGCUCAGACGCGAAAGCUAGGGGAGCAAACAGGAUUAGAUACCCUGGUAGUCC